This 292-nucleotide ribosomal RNA is filed under the name uncultured eukaryote. RNAcentral's name for it is "partial 18S ribosomal RNA". It matches the Rfam family "Eukaryotic small subunit ribosomal RNA", at positions 6 to 324 of the family's 1831-position model. The record is from RNAcentral.
GGUUGAUCCUGCCAGUAGUCAUAUGCUUGUCUCAAAGAUUAAGCCAUGCAUGUCUAAGUAUCAGUUGAUUAACGGCAAAACUGCGAAUGGCUCAUUAAAACAGUUAUGGGUUGCGUGAUGAAUGUUACUACACGGAUAACUGUGGUAAUUCUGGAGCUAAUACGUUGCACAAACAUCCGUUGGAUGGCGCGUAUUUUGUUUGACCAACGAAUUUGGUGAACCAUGAUAUGCAGCGAAUUGCACGGCACUUGCUGGCAAUGCUUCACUAAGAUUUCUGACCUAUCAGCUUUCG